This is a non-coding RNA of Paramuricea clavata, 951 nucleotides long. The record is from the annotation of a GenBank genome assembly. NCBI's taxonomy places the organism in Eukaryota, Metazoa, Cnidaria, Anthozoa, Malacalcyonacea, Plexauridae.
CGUUUAGUUCUUUCACUCUAGAUGGGAUUUGCUUUGUGUUUCAACAUCUUUGCUGUUAUCAUUUCGUCUGUUGCUUCGAUCUUUUUGAUCAUAAUUACUAUUGCCAUGAAUGAAUUCGCGAGCGAUUACAAGAGCCACUGCAUCGAUGUCGGAGAUCAAUGCGAAUGCUUUUAUAGUGAAUAUGAUCAUAGCCAUGAAACCGAUUAUGAUGUAUCAUGUAAGUAUAAAAGGUUGGUUUUCACAGGAUUUUAAUUGCUAGGUCACGGGCUUUAGGACCAAUUUAAUUUGACAACAAUAGCAUUCUAUCAAAUCAAGCGGUCAUAGUGAAGUGUCGGGCACCUGAACUAUUCAAUAUAUAUCUUGCUUGACAGUGCUUCUACUAUACCGGCUGCGAGGUACGUGCUGAAAAAUUUUUUUCCAAGGGCUCAGCAGCGGCCAAAGGCCGAGGGAAAAUAUUUUUAGUACGGACCGACCUAAACGCUAAAUAACGUGUUUAUUUUUUUAAUUUGAUGGUUCAUGGUUAUACCGGUAAUGAUUCCGAUAAAAUUCCAGUUGCAAAGUACAUUUGAGAUCAGUUGCGUCUGUUCCGAACGAUCUUAUUGAUCGCAAAUAUUGAUUUGGCACAGAAUGAUCCCAAAGAUCCAUUAGGGACCGGUCAUAAAGUGAAAGGGGGGUGGGCUGGGAAAAAUAGGGGGUGGCUCACUAUUUUUGAGCACGGUUGAAGGGGUGGUCAUCGAAAGUUAAGUGCAAUCAUAAGGGUUGGCCAUGUAAAAAUAUGCAGAAGAUUGGACCACAGUCAUUUUUUUGUGUUAAAAAUUUCCGCGCAAAGAACAAGAUACCUGUUUUUUGGGCUAAGUACCGAAAUUUGGUGUGAAAAAUUAAGAUAAAGUCAAUUGCAACAUACUCGUCCGGAAAAAUUUUUACCUAAAAAAGUUGUCGACGGGGUGGGGG